AGCGAACGCUGGCGGCAGGCUUAACACAUGCAAGUCGAGCGGGCACUUCGGUGUCAGCGGCAGACGGGUGAGUAACACGUGGGAACGUACCCUUCGGUUCGGAAUAACGCUGGGAAACUAGCGCUAAUACCGGAUACGCCCUUUUGGGGAAAGGUUUACUGCCGAAGGAUCGGCCCGCGUCUGAUUAGCUAGUUGGUGGGGUAAUGGCCUACCAAGGCGACGAUCAGUAGCUGGUCUGAGAGGAUGAUCAGCCACACUGGGACUGAGACACGGCCCAGACUCCUACGGGAGGCAGCAGUGGGGAAUAUUGGACAAUGGGCGCAAGCCUGAUCCAGCCAUGCCGCGUGAGUGAUGAGGGCCUUAGGGUUGUAAAGCUCUUUUGUCCGGGACGAUAAUGACGGUACCGGAAGAAUAAGCCCCGGCUAACUUCGUG
This 433-nucleotide ribosomal RNA is filed under the name uncultured bacterium. Its description in RNAcentral is "partial 16S ribosomal RNA". It matches the Rfam family "Bacterial small subunit ribosomal RNA", at positions 29 to 507 of the family's 1533-position model. The record is from RNAcentral.